Molecule: ribosomal RNA, 484 nt
Filed under: uncultured bacterium
Lineage: Bacteria
Description: partial 16S ribosomal RNA
Rfam family: Bacterial small subunit ribosomal RNA
Source: RNAcentral
AUUGAACGCUGGCGGCAGGCCUAACACAUGCAAGUCGAGCGGAUGAAGGGAGCUUGCUCCUGGAUUCAGCGGCGGACGGGUGAGUAAUGCCUAGGAAUCUGCCUGGUAGUGGGGGAUAACGUCCGGAAACGGGCGCUAAUACCGCAUACGUCCUGAGGGGGAAAGUGGGGGAUCUUCGGACCUCACUCUAUCAGAUGAGCCUAGGUCGGAUUAGCUAGUUGGUGGGGUAAAGGCCUACCAAGGCGACGAUCCGUAACUGGUCUGAGAGGAUGAUCAGUCACACUGGAACUGAGACACGGUCCAGACUCCUACGGGAGGCAGCAGUGGGGAAUAUUGGACAAUGGGCGAAAGCCUGAUCCAGCCAUGCCGCGUGUGUGAAGAAGGUCUUCGGAUUGUAAAGCACUUUAAGUUGGGAGGAAGGGCAGUAAGUUAAUACCUUGCUGUUUUGACGUUACCAACAGAAUAAGCACCGGCUAACUUCGUG